GUCACAUUCUUAUUUUGCCACUGGAUAUGAUUCCACGGCUUUGAAAUCAUCAUCUCCUAACAAUGAGAACCCAGAAAUAAGACGAGGCAAUUCGGUUUAUGCCACAAAUGCAGAUAAGGUAAAUCACAUUUUGGAUCUCGGAAGAUUCGAAAUUCUUGGAGCGUGAUGAUUUUCUGGAUCGGGAUCUACGCGGGUGGCAGCACCUUCUUGUCCCUUUAGAGUAACGGAGAUCAUUUGCCCGUACUUUUCCUUCAAAACGUGCAUGAUCU
This 269-nucleotide long non-coding RNA is filed under the name Eucalyptus grandis. RNAcentral's name for it is "long non-coding RNA (EGRA_LNC006985)". The record is from RNAcentral. Lineage: Eukaryota; Viridiplantae; Streptophyta; Magnoliopsida; Myrtales; Myrtaceae.